GAACUCUGACUAUCCUACAUUGUAAUAUGCCUACUACCAAGUGGCCCUCAGUUGGCCUUGAGGAACCCCAGGACUACAAUGGACUACUUUGUGUGAAAGCCUCUGCUUUAGUCCAGCAUUCCCAUUUUACAUCUGAGGAAACCCAGGGAAAUGUUGCACAAGUCAGCACAAUGCCACGGAAAGAACAUUGGACUAGAAAACAAAAAAUGCUUGGGUCAGAGCUUUGCCACUUCAGCUAUGAGACUUUGGACAAAUCUAUUCAUCACUUUAGAGCCUCACUUUCCUAAUUUAUUAUAAUAACUUUUGAGUUGUGUAAUCUCUGAAGUCUAUCCCUGUUAUAAAAUUACUGUAAUUCCAAUUGCAGACACAGUUUGUACCUUCAGUUCAGUGUUCUUCCCAAUGUACUGCUGUGUGCUUGCCAGUUAUUUAGAGGGCCCUGUGCACGGAUGCCCUGGAUGAAUCCUAUAAUAACACUUCUACACACCCACAGAAGGAUACUACACAUACUUUUAUAAUCUGUGGCUCUGUACCAAGUGCAGGUGGAUAUGCAGCCAGGUUCUCAAUAAUUAUGCAGUGUCUGUAUUUUACACAAACAUUGCUAUCUAGGGAAAUCUGCCAACUGUUGAAUCAUAUAGUUCCUGGAACACCGUUUCUUAUUCCCAGUCUUACAUAACCACAUCUUAACUAAUACAACUAAUAAAAUACCACAAGGGGUUUCUAAGGUGCUUUGGUAAAGUGGAGAAGGUUUCCCACAAAAAGAAAACAUACAUUCACCUCCAGAAAAUGGAAUCCAAUGAAUAUGUAAGUUUACAUAAGACAAAGAAUGAAUUUAAUACUCAUUAAUUACCCUUUUGUGAGAAACUACUUUGCUCUCUAUUCAGCGCCACUAGUAUUUCCAAUGGAUUUGGCAGAUUAUUUUUUUAAGUUAAACUUCAUCAAAGAAAUUCUUUAGAGGUAUUUUCAUAAGCAGAAACUAACAAUCUCAAGUUUU
RNAcentral lists this long non-coding RNA (991 nucleotides) under Marmota monax (woodchuck). Lineage: Eukaryota; Metazoa; Chordata; Mammalia; Rodentia; Sciuridae. The record is from RNAcentral.